GCGAGCAUGGUGUAGUCCGGCCAAGCAUUCGGCCCUUUCGAGGCCGCGACCCGGGUUCAAAUCCCGGUGGGGGCA
This 75-nucleotide transfer RNA is filed under the name Candidatus Pacearchaeota archaeon. Its description in RNAcentral is "tRNA-Glu". It matches the Rfam family "tRNA". From Rfam's summary of the family: Transfer RNA (tRNA) molecules are approximately 80 nucleotides in length. Their secondary structure includes four short double-helical elements and three loops (D, anti-codon, and T loops). Further hydrogen bonds mediate the characteristic L-shaped molecular structure. tRNAs have two regions of fundamental functional importance: the anti-codon, which is responsible for specific mRNA codon recognition, and the 3' end, to which the tRNAs corresponding amino acid is attached (by aminoacyl-tRNA synthetases). tRNAs cope with the degeneracy of the genetic code in two manners: having more than one tRNA (with a specific anti-codon) for a particular amino acid; and 'wobble' base-pairing, i.e. permitting non-standard base-pairing at the 3rd anti-codon position. The record is from RNAcentral. Lineage: Archaea; Nanobdellati.